UGAAGGCUUGUCCAAAGAGAGAGUUUCCAAAAAGCCUCAGUUUUAAUAGAGGGUUAUUUUCUAUGGCUGUGCACUGGAUAGAGAACCUGCCUAUAUGCUCAUCGGAUGAAGCAUAAGGAUCAUCUCCGUUAAACAAGGUGAAGUUUGGUGCCUUGAAACCUGGGGAUAGAGGUAUCUAAUCUAUAUAAGCCGGAUAUGGCUUUCUGUAGGUAGGCCUUUCUCCUCUUCUGACAUCAGGCUCCAUCAUCUCCCUGAUCAUUCUCUGUAGUGCCCCCAUGUCAUUCACAGCAUUAACAGGGUGCGGAUUUCGCCCCUAUUCUGGCUGGAUGUGGUAAAUCCUAUGCUCUAUUCUAUGUGGCCUGGGCAGAGCUUCCUCCCUGUGUUUUCCUCUUCUUCAAAAUCUGGAUUAUUCCUCUAAUUUGCCCUUGGUCUAUUCCUGUCAUUGUUGGCGAAAGGGUUGAUUCCCCUUUUGCCUCUUCUGCCUCUUACUGGUGGAGGGAAUGGAAUGGGAUCCAUCCUUCUGGGUUUGUAAGGCAACACAGCUGGUGUCUCAGGCAGAAGUGCCAGGGGCUGAUCACGUGGGGCCAUAAGUUGUGGAAUAGGUGGAGGUUCUGGCAGAUUCUAUUGGACCUGAACUGGUGCAGGGCCUUCUGGCCGAGCUGGACCUUCCUGCUCUUGGAUGGGAGGGGCUCAUCCCUUCUAUCCAGCUUGGAUCUCUCCAUGCCCUUAUAUUCCAGCUAUUUGUACGAUGAGAGGGUUCUCUUGAUAUGGCCAUGCCAAUCCUAGUGGAGGGCUGUAAGGGAGGUCUAGUUGCUGGACCACAACAUCAGGAUUUGGAAUUCCGGCCAUGGCAGCCUCACGACCCUUGUUGAACUGCCUAUUAACUUGUCAUUGCAUCAUGACUGUCAUGUUAUUUAGAGUGUCCUGGCUCCUUUGUGCUGUAGCCUUCUGUCGGAACACAGCUUCCUGUAUUCGAUUCAAUCUUCUAGAGCCAGACCUGGAACGUCUACUCUGGGUACUGCCAUGGACUGAUUGCCUGGCAUCACUUUCUUCUGACUCUAGUCAUUCUCGGAGAACUACUUAAUCUCUUUGCAUGGUGCAGCGUGGGUAUUGGCUAGAACUUCCAAUAUUCAUAUACUUUUGAUAAAUUUCUCUAAGAAUAUGUAUACUGAGAAGUCUCACUGGGGGUGCCAAAUUGUUCACCCGUUUCGUGUUUGUACCUGUGAUGGUAAGGUAAAGUUCCUCAUUGCCUUGAAAACCAUUGUCUGGUCAACAAGUCAACUUUCUUUAGUGUGCAAAUGUGCCAUUGCUAGUAAUGAAAAAUCUUAGCGGACUUCGAAAAUAGAUAACUUGCGCCCCAAGUUACUGAUUUCUAAACAAGCAAAUGUGAAUUUUUGUGAGGAAUAUCUCCCAAGUAAGUUAUUUUCUUGCCUCAAAGUAGUGAGGACUUCACAAUUUUUCAUAGUACAAUAUUGGUAGUUUUGGCCAGAAUAAAUGAUGAGAAAAUGAACUGUUUUUAGGUAGAACUGCCUUUACAAAACUCAAAAGGGAAAAGCCAACUCUAGAAAGACGAAAAGAAGGCUGGACUUCCAUUUCUGAAGGGAUAGAUGCUUCUGAUCCGGGCUAGACUGGGUAUGCCUGUGCUGGAC
Molecule: long non-coding RNA, 1649 nt
Filed under: Prunus persica (peach)
Lineage: Eukaryota; Viridiplantae; Streptophyta; Magnoliopsida; Rosales; Rosaceae
Description: long non-coding RNA (PPER_LNC003703)
Source: RNAcentral